This is a long non-coding RNA of Dermochelys coriacea (leatherback sea turtle), 254 nucleotides long. RefSeq lists it as uncharacterized. The transcript has 3 exons. NCBI's taxonomy places the organism in Eukaryota, Metazoa, Chordata, Testudines, Dermochelyidae. The record is from RefSeq and is a predicted model, not a curated record.
AAGGAGUACUUUUCAAUGGUGCUGCAAGCACUGGUGUAUCACAAGGGACGUUUCACCAACAUCAACAUGGGAUGGCCGGAAAAGGUACAUGACGCUUGCAUCUUCGGGAACUCUAGUCUGUAUGAACUUCUGCAGUAAGGGACUUACUUCCCAGACCAGAAAAUAGCCGUUAGGGAUGUUGAAAUGCCUAUAGUUAUCCUUGGGGACCCAGCCUACCUCUUAAUGCCAUGGCUCAUGAAGCCAUACACAGGCAC